This 483-nucleotide ribosomal RNA is filed under the name Heteronebo jamaicae. RNAcentral's name for it is "partial 16S ribosomal RNA". It matches the Rfam family "Bacterial large subunit ribosomal RNA", at positions 1816 to 2600 of the family's 2925-position model. The record is from RNAcentral. Lineage: Eukaryota; Metazoa; Arthropoda; Arachnida; Scorpiones; Diplocentridae.
GGUUCUUAGAAACUAAUUAAGAAUCAGGCCUGCUCAAUGCAGAAGUAAAAAGCCGCGGUAUCCUAACCGUGCAAAGGUAGCAUAAUCAUUAGUCUUUUAAUUGGAGACUAGAAUGAAAGGUUAAACUUAAUAAAUCUGUCUUACAAUAAUAUUUCAAAAUUAAUAUUUUAGUAAAAAAGCUAAAAUGAAUUUCAGGGACGAGAAGACCCUAUUGAGCUUUACAAACCUUUUCAUUUCUCUUUAAGUGAAAUUAAUUUGUUUUACUGGGGCAGUAAAUAACAACCUUUUAUUUUAAAAUUGUGGAACUAAUUCUAGGAAAAUCAAAAAAUUUUUAAAUAAAAAUAAGUUACCAUAGGGAUAACAGCGUAAUUUUUUCCAAGAGAACAUAUUAACGAAAAAGUUUGCGACCUCGAUGUUGGAUUAAAAUACCUCUUUUGCGCAACAGCAAAAAAAGGAAGUCUGUUCGACUUUUAAAAUUUUCCA